UCCGGGUCAGUCCCCGUAUCUCCGGGCUCCCUUUCUUCCCGCGGACCCUGGGAGUCGGAUUGGGCAUGUGCUACUUUUCGCAGGCCGUCGAAUGCUGCGGAGCCCAGCCACUCACCCGCAGCAAGGGCCCGGGCCAGGUUCUGCGCGAUUGUGCGACUGUGCGUGCUUACCUGGCUGAUCUGCAGCAGCCCAGGGCAGCAAUACUCAAAUCCGGGAUCUACGGGCUGCACGGAAUCCGAAGGCUUGAACCUGAGUUGCAGGGCUUUGCUAUGUGAAAUAGCUAGUUCGCAGGUGUGGAAGGUAAGAAGGUCUUUGGAAGAAAGACACCACUGAAGUGGAACACUGUGCGUUAGGCGGGAAGAGAAACUAGGAUGAGCUUUGGCAGUCUCAGUCUUUCAAGGAAUCUAUUCCAGUGCUAAAAUGUGAAAUGACUAGAAGACAAGAAGGAAGAAAAAGUAUUCUUUUCUGGAAAUAUUCUCAGAGAGGGAGGAAGUGGAGAGAGGAACAGAAAGAGAGAGAAAAAAACAUCAGUGUGAGGCAGAAACACUGAUUGGUUGCCUCCUGUACACAACCUGACUGUGGAUCAAACUGGGAAUUGAAUGCACGGCCUCUCGGUCCACAGUAGGAUGCUCCAACCAACCAAGCCACACCGGACAGUGUACAAAGUGUACUUUUUUUUUACAUUAGUUCUUACUAAUGUAAAGUUUUGGGCUUAGAUUAUAAGGAAUGUCCAUGUUUCCCUGUAAACUUAUUUUUAUAAAUCUAUUUCUAAAAGUGAAGUGACUGGGUAAUCUGACCCUGAGCAAAAACUAUCCAUGCCAGCCUAGCACUGGAAAGCUUACAUCUAAUCCUAACACCACACUUCACAUAAUUUAAGUGCUGUUGAUAUUGCAAAAUCCCGAGGUGUUGCUCUGUUUAGUUACACUUUAACCAGUUGGCAUAGCCAGUACUGCUUCACAGAACACUAAAAAAAAAAAAAAAAAAACCCAAAAACAAAGGCUUGGCUUAUAGAAAGUAAAGAUAUGCUUUAGAAAAAAUAACAAUAAAGACAACUGGACUUAGUAUGGAAUAUAAGACUUAAAAAUUCCAUAGAAUAAGGAAGGAAAGUAAGAAUUUACUUAUAAGCAUUUUAAAAGCUUUUGCCUUCUCACCAAGAAGUGCUCUCAUACUAAACUUUUGGUUUGGGUUGCCUACAGGUAUGUUUACAGCAGUCCUUCCUUGUCUGGGGCAGAUACAUUCCAAGACCCCCAGUGGAUGCCUGAAACCACGGAUAAUAUAAACCAUAUACUAUGUUUUCUACUGUUUAUACCUACCUAUAAUAAACUUUAAACUAUUCUUGCAAUUCGGGACCAUUAUUAACUAAAAUAGGAGUUGCUUGAAUACAAGCACUGCAAUACCACAAUGGCCGAUUUGAUACCAAGACAGCUUCUAAAUGACUAACAGGCAGGUAGCAGCAUACAGCACGAAGACACUGGACACUCUGUGUCCACAUCACAAGUGGACAGAGCAGGACAGCAUGAGAUUUCAUCGGAGUGCUGAGAAUGUCAUGUAACAUAAAACUUAUGAAUACUUAUUUCUGGAAUUUUCUAUUUAUUAUGUUCAGACUGCCAUUGACUGAGGAAUAAAACCUGUGGAAAGUGAAACUUUUGAUAAA
This is a long non-coding RNA of Artibeus jamaicensis (Jamaican fruit-eating bat), 1654 nucleotides long. RefSeq lists it as uncharacterized. The record is from RefSeq and is a predicted model, not a curated record. The transcript is spliced from 4 exons. NCBI's taxonomy places the organism in Eukaryota, Metazoa, Chordata, Mammalia, Chiroptera, Phyllostomidae.